CCCCACCCAAGCCUCAAAAUCCCUAAGGGAACAAUACGGAGCAGGAAGGCCCAGUGCAGAGCUGAGGUGUCACUGUCUGUAGGUUAUAAAGUGAACUUCACCUCCAUCAGGGUCUCUGGGAACCUUUGCAAGAACUGCUUCCCCCAGCCGCUGACGAUGACCAUGGCUCCUGGAGGAGAGAAGAUACUGUGAGAACAGAGAAGCUAUCUGUGGGGUGUUUGGAGGGGUGCAGCUUGCAGCUCCAUCAUCCUCUUCUGUGGAGGAAAGACUGGAUUGUUCUUCUCAGAGAAAGGUGGUGUGGUGGGGAGGAAGACGUGAAAGGCAGCUGGGCUACAGAUUACCUGCAGCAGAGCUAGGGGCACUGGUUUCUAUGAUGUGUUACUGGCUUACUUGUUUAGUUUUCUAUUCUGUCCCACCCUCAACUAGUCUGAAACCUAGGGUCCAUGAGAGCAGAAUCUCAUUCUUGGUCACUGCUAUAUCACAGUGCCUAUAGCAAUGCUGUCACAUAGUAGGUGCUCAAUCAAGAACAGCGAAUAAAUAAAAAGCCCAGCCUAGUCCACUAUGUGCUAUGGUGCCUUUAGCCAGCCCUCCUCUCUGCUCCCCUUCUAAGCCUCUGUUUUCCUAUCCAUAAAAUGAGGAGGCUGGACUUGGUAUUCUCUAAAACCCCUUUCAGAGUUGACAUUCUAGAAGUCUAUGAAGUUGGUAAAUCUGUGGGGCAAUGUGGAAGUGGGUUGAGCACUGACAGAGCAAUUAUUUUCUCAUUUGAAAAAGAGCCUGGAUACUGAAAACAGUGUUGGGCUUAAAGUCAGAAAACCUGUACUAUAUCCCUAGAUCUGCUUCAUACAAGCUGCAUCUCGGGUGAGUCACCUCACCCUGCUGAUCCUUAGUUUUCUCGUUUGUAAAUGAGGCUACAGUGCCACCUUGCAAGGCUUGCAUGGUUCGUAAAUAAGUUAAUGAACAUAAAGCACCUGGUGGGCACAUGGCACCCAAUGAGUCAAAGCCAGCUACACCUGUGCCUUUCCUGUUGGCUCAGUUCCCCUAAAUACUCCUCAGAUUACAUCUCAGCCAUUUUUCUUUUGAGCUAAAGGAAGUGAACUUGAUGUGGCACCACUGAAAUUAGAAUGAAAAGGAAGCCAGCUGACAUGGGUCACCUAUGUUUAAGUAUUAUCUCAAACACGGAAAUGCCACAGCCACCACAUGGGAUAGCAUCUCCAGUUUAGAGGUCUGACUGUUUACUAUGUGCUUCCCACAACUUUUGCUGCCUUGGACCCAGUUCUGACUUGGCUGUUUGAGGGGAAGCAGUUGGUGAGUCAAGCAGACACUGUCAGCUGACUUAAUUGGCACCAGAGCUUCACCAACGUGAAGACGGACUCCUUGUGGAGGCACCAGCUGCCCUGCAGAGGUGGAGGAACUGAUGCUGUUGCCUUGUAAUGCUUGUUCUGAUGCCUGCUGCCACAUGUUCAAUCCCUAUCAUCACCUUCAGUGCCUGUGUCAAACAUGACCUCCUCCAGGUAGCCUCUCAGACUCUUGGGUUAGAAGUCUUUCCCCUCUGAACUCCCAUGGCAUUUUAUCUGUUCUUCUUCUACAAAACUUACUGCUGGCUACUUUCCGUUAGAGGUCUCUGUGCUCACAUCUUAUUCCUUUAUUAGACUGUAAGCUCCCUGUGGGCAGAAACUAGGUCUUAAUCAUACUGUGUCCUUAGAUCCUGGCAUAAUGUCAGUAGGUAAAUAUGUGUGGACCUGAAUUGAAUCAGCUGGUCAUCUGAUUUUAUAAACAAGAGGGGAAAUCUGGAUCGUAUAUGUAUGAUCUAUUUGAAACCACAGGUUCAUGGAAAUCUAACAGGUCUUUGGAAAUUAUCUAGAGGCCUCCUCAUUUUAUCGUUGUGAAACUGAAGCAUAGACUUCAAUGCCUUCUCAUGGUCACGUGUCUGGAGAAUCAUAUCUUGCACUUGGACUCAGGUUCCUGGACCUCCAUCCCAGGUGUCCUGCCCUGACAAAUGAGUGAGCGAGUGAGUGAGCAGACACGCCUUGGAAAGGGCCAGUAGGUCAUUCCCAGAACCACAGCUGGCUUUGGGAGUCAGCUUGCCCCUCACUCACUCACCCAGGAUGAUUUUGAAGUCAGAAGGGCUGAGCAAGUCUGAAUCACGUAGGGUCGGAUCUUCCGGAUCGAGUGACUGGUGGAGGCAGUGUGCGGCGGUCACGAUCCAGCUGGAGCCUGGGGAACAGAACACACGUCUCAUCGUCCUGCACUACUGGGUCUUGCCUCCCUCUGUCUUGAGCUGAGGAUCUUCAGGCUACUCCAGAGGACCCCUCAAGACCUUGAAAAUGGCCAUGCUUCUCUCCAUUGUAUUUUAUGGCCCCCAACUCAAAUGCUCAUAUGAUCCUAAUCUGAAGAUGAGGAUUUAAAUCUGUGAUUUUUACCUGCCUAUUCCAACCAAGGCCAGGACUGAACAUUGUAAACAGGAUUUCAGGGAUCCUUUAAGCCCAUGGCAUUGGUGAGAGCCAGAGAGCCCAAGGUGGGUGCACAGAAAGCCUGUGGUCAACUGGCUGCCUUCUCAGGCCUUGCUUCUCAAAGUGUGGUGCCUGGACCAGCAACAUUAGCAUCACUUGGAGGCUUCUUAGAAAUGAAGACUCUUAGGCCGGCCCCACCUCUGAUCCACUGAAUCAGAAUUUUCAUUUUAACAAGACUCUCCAGUAAUUUGUAUGCAUAUUAAAGUUUAAAAUUGAUGAAUCCGAAGC
Molecule: long non-coding RNA, 2738 nt
Organism: Homo sapiens (human)
Lineage: Eukaryota; Metazoa; Chordata; Mammalia; Primates; Hominidae
Exons: 3
Source: RefSeq, a predicted model, not a curated record